Molecule: ribosomal RNA, 440 nt
Filed under: uncultured bacterium
Lineage: Bacteria
Description: partial 16S ribosomal RNA
Rfam family: Bacterial small subunit ribosomal RNA
Source: RNAcentral
CCUACGGGAGGCAGCAGUGGGGGAUAUUGCACAAUGGGGGGAACCCUGAUGCAGCGAAGCCGCGUGGGUGAAGAAGCGCCUAGGCGCGUAAAGCCCUGUCAGCAGGGAAGAAAAUGACGGUACCUGAAGACGAAGCCCCGGCUAACUACGUGCCAGCAGCCGCGGUAAUAAGGAGGGGGAAAGCGUGAUCCGGAUUUACUGGGUGUAAAGGGGGCGAAGACGGCGAUGCAAGCCAGGAGUGAAAGCCCGGGGCCCAACCCCGGGACUGCUCUUGGAACUGCGUGGCUGGAGUGCAGGAGGGGCAGGCGGAAUUCCUGGUGUAGCGGUGACAUGCGUAGAUAUCAGGAGGAACACCGGUGGCGAAGGCGGCCUGCUGGACUGCAACUGACGUUGAGGCCCGAAAGCGUGGGGAGCAAACAGGAGUAGAUACCCUAGUAGUC